GACGAACGCUGGCGGCGUGCCUAACACAUGCAAGUCGAACGGAAAGGCCCUGCUUUUGUGGGGUGCUCGAGUGGCGAACGGGUGAGUAACACGUGAGUAACCUGCCCUUGACUUUGGGAUAACUUCAGGAAACUGGGGCUAAUACCGGAUAGGAGCUCCUGCUGCAUGGUGGGGGUUGGAAAGUUUCGGCGGUUGGGGAUGGACUCGCGGCUUAUCAGCUUGUUGGUGGGGUAGUGGCUUACCAAGGCUUUGACGGGUAGCCGGCCUGAGAGGGUGACCGGCCACAUUGGGACUGAGAUACGGCCCAGACUCCUACGGGAGGCAGCAGUGGGGAAUAUUGCACAAUGGGCGGAAGCCUGAUGCAGCAACGCCGCGUGCGGGAUGACGGCAUUCGGGUUGUAAACCGCUUUCGCCUGUGACGGAGCGUGAGUGCCGGUACUGGGUAAAGAAGCACCGGCUAACUACGU
RNAcentral lists this ribosomal RNA (467 nucleotides) under uncultured bacterium. Its description in RNAcentral is "partial 16S ribosomal RNA". It matches the Rfam family "Bacterial small subunit ribosomal RNA", at positions 28 to 506 of the family's 1533-position model. The record is from RNAcentral.